GUGUCAGCCGCCGCGGUAAGACGAACCGUGCGAACGUUGUUCGGAAUCACUGGGCUUAAAGGGCGCGUAGGCGGCCGGGUUGGUCGUGGGUGAAAUCCCCCAGCUUAACUGGGGAAGGGCCUACGAUACUGCCUGGCUCGAGGGAGGAAGGGGCGGUCGGAACUGUCGGUGGAGCGGUGAAAUGCGUUGAUAUCGACAGGAACGCCGGUGGCGAAAGCGGACCGCUGGCCCUCUUCUGACGCUGAGGCGCGAAAGCCAGGGGAGCGAACGGGAUUAGAUACCCCUGUAGUCC
RNAcentral lists this ribosomal RNA (292 nucleotides) under uncultured bacterium. RNAcentral's name for it is "partial 16S ribosomal RNA". It matches the Rfam family "Bacterial small subunit ribosomal RNA", at positions 505 to 796 of the family's 1533-position model. The record is from RNAcentral.